GUUGAAGGUUGGGUAACACUAACUGGAGGACCGAACCGACUAAUGUUGAAAAAUUAGCGGAUGACUUGUGGCUGGGGGUGAAAGGCCAAUCAAACCGGGAGAUAGCUGGUUCUCCCCGAAAGCUAUUUAGGUAGCGCCUCGUGAAUUCAUCUCCGGGGGUAGAGCACUGUUUCGGCAAGGGGGUCAUCCCGACUUACCAACCCGAUGCAAACUGCGAAUACCGGAGAAUGUUAUCACGGGAGACACACGGCGGGUGCUAACGUCCGUCGUGAAGAGGGAAACAACCCAGACCGCCAGCUAAGGUCCCAAAGUCAUGGUUAAGUGGGAAACGAUGUGGGAAGGCCCAGACAGCCAGGAUGUUGGCUUAGAAGCAGCCAUCAUUUAAAGAAAGCGUAAUAGCUCACUGGUCGAGUCGGCCUGCGCGGAAGAUGUAACGGGGCUAAACCAUGCACCGAAGCUGCGGCAGCGACGCUUAUGCGUUGUUGGGUAGGGGAGCGUUCUGUAAGCCUGCGAAGGUGUGCUGUGAGG
RNAcentral lists this ribosomal RNA (528 nucleotides) under Escherichia coli. RNAcentral describes it as "partial 23S ribosomal RNA". It matches the Rfam family "Bacterial large subunit ribosomal RNA", at positions 744 to 1268 of the family's 2925-position model. The record is from RNAcentral. Lineage: Bacteria; Pseudomonadati; Pseudomonadota; Gammaproteobacteria; Enterobacterales; Enterobacteriaceae.